AUUUAUAUAGUUUACAUAAAACACUUCAUUUUCAAUGAAGAAAAGAAUAUUUAUUCUAUAAAUA
This 64-nucleotide transfer RNA is filed under the name Sycanus falleni. RNAcentral describes it as "tRNA-Glu". The record is from RNAcentral. Lineage: Eukaryota; Metazoa; Arthropoda; Insecta; Hemiptera; Reduviidae.